This 253-nucleotide ribosomal RNA is filed under the name uncultured bacterium. RNAcentral describes it as "partial 16S ribosomal RNA". It matches the Rfam family "Bacterial small subunit ribosomal RNA", at positions 524 to 776 of the family's 1533-position model. The record is from RNAcentral.
UACGUAGGGUGCAAGCGUUGUCCGGAAUUAUUGGGCGUAAAGAGCUCGUAGGCGGUCUGUUACGUCUGCUGUGAAAACCCGGGGCUUAACCCUGGGCUUGCAGUGGAUACGGGCAGACUAGAGGCAGGUAGGGGAGAAUGGAAUUCCCGGUGUAGCGGUGAAAUGCGCAGAUAUCAGGAGGAACACCGGUGGCGAAGGCGGGUCUCUGGGCAGUAACUGACGCUGAGACGCGAAAGCGUGGGGAGCAAACAGG